AACAAGAUGCUGAUGGUUUUUAUCUUUUGUCUAGAGUGCCAAAGAUAUGGUUCAUGGAAGUUCAGUAUCCAACUGUGUGGAGUGAGAAGCUUUACUUUUUAAGGGCAGACUGGAGGGCAGAGGCAGCUAAGAGCUGUUGAACCUACCAAGCCAGCUGCUGCUUCAUAUGCUGAUUGCUGCUUCUGCAAAGAAAGGUGAAGGGGAGGAAGAAGGCAAGCAUUCAGCUUCACUCUGAGGCUGAGAAGAGCAGUUCUUCAGUCACAGUACGAUUUGAGGGAAAAAUAGAUUAAAACUUAAGGCGAAGAAGAGCUGGGCAAGGCACAGAAGAUCAUCGCUCUGUAUCACUUCCACAUUUCUACUGCAACCUUUCAGCUCUUUGGAAGUCACCUGAAAGGAUAGCAGAACUGUGACAGAUGAGCCUGAAGUUUUAAAUAUCGCUAUAAGAUGGAUGCGUGAUGGCAGCAGCAACAGGCACAAAGGUUACAUGUACCCUCUGAAGCAUCCCUGAGUAGUUCAGUGACAGAUUUAAUAAAAUAAACAAAUAAAUAAAUAAAAGCCAAAUGGUUUUCAAGGACAAGAUCCUUUCCUGCCAGCAGGCAAAAGGACAUUCCACAUAGGAGCCCAUCUUCCAGCUGUUGGAUAACAUCGGAAGCCAGCAUGAGAAUGACUGUCACUUUUGGUGGCUUGCCCAACAGAUUUUGUUCACAGAUUUUUAAAAUUUUUUUUUUAAUAAAGCAUGGCUCAUGUAGCAGAGAAAAUAAUUUGAGCAGAGUGGAACUCAGGAGUUUCACUUCACAAAUGAAGUCCUUGUCUCAUUGGUAUCAAUGGUAGUUUCCCUCUGACUUCAAAGGUGCCAGGAUUUCAUCUUGCAUGAAAAGUUUAUUCAUCUUCUCUCUUUGUGGUUUUGUGUAUGCCCCCCAUUUGCUGAGUGUCAAGCAGACAGAUGAUUUGAAAGAACUUGCCCCCUCCAACUGAAACAUGGAAAGCCUCUAGCAUUCUGCUGAGUGAGUAUCUAUAUGGUAACAGGAGCCUAAUCUUGUAAAGGCCAGAGGUUCAGGGGGCAGCCAGACCCAGACAACACCCAUUAAUUUAGGGUCCACCUUAAUUAUAUAUAUCCUUGUAAUACUUGGGGAUUACUGCUGUAAAAAUGGCAACUGGAAAGCAGGAGACUGAAAGAAAAGAUCUUGGAGCAGUGGCCCAGAAUGUCUCCAUAGACCAUCACCAGUGCAGACUAUUGUGGAUUCUACCUCACUGUUAAAACGACUACCUAAAACAGUAUCCUGUAAUCAAUGCCCCAAGGUAUCCUGUUCAGUCAAUCAAGACCCAUCAUCAUUUGUUUGAAGUUUCACCUCUGGACUGAUUAAAAAAACAAAACAAAAAACUUGUAAAAACAAGUUUCACACCUGGACAACCCAAAACAGGAUCUGAGCAGUUAGCGCAAUUGUAGCGUGAUGAUCCCUUCCUACCUGCUUGGUCGGGACAUUAAUUGACCAACUAUCAAGGAGGAAUGCUUCGAAACCGUAGUAUUGAACAGUACAAGAAUGAAACAGAGUUGCCAGCAAAGUGUGCACUCUUAGAGAGAGAGAGAGAGAGAAAUCAUUACAACAUUGUACCUGCACCCAGCUGAUCUCUCCUGGGUGACGGAUCCGCGCUCAGUGAAGAAUGACAAGACUGGAAACCGCUUCCUGCCUGCAUUGAUGAGAGACUCUUGCAGUUAACAUAUGCUAGGACUUUUGUGAUGGUUCAUUUGCUGAAUAUUGAGAAGGAGUCUUUUUCUGUCAUUUAGUUUUAUAGCUCAUUUGUGGUAUUGUUAUUAAAGC
Alligator sinensis (Chinese alligator) is the source of this 1820-nucleotide long non-coding RNA. RefSeq lists it as uncharacterized. The transcript is spliced from 4 exons. The record is from RefSeq and is a predicted model, not a curated record. NCBI's taxonomy places the organism in Eukaryota, Metazoa, Chordata, Crocodylia, Alligatoridae.